RNAcentral lists this ribosomal RNA (2234 nucleotides) under soil metagenome. RNAcentral's name for it is "bacterial LSU rRNA". It matches the Rfam family "Bacterial large subunit ribosomal RNA", at positions 713 to 2925 of the family's 2925-position model. The record is from RNAcentral.
ACCCGAAGCCGAGGUGAUCUACCCAUGAGCAGGUUGAAGGUUGCUUAACCGCAACUGAAGGACCGAACCCGUGAAGGUUGAAAACUUCUGGGAUGACUUGUGGGUAGGAGCGAAAGACUAAUCAAACCCGGUGAUAGCUGGUUCUCCCCGAAAUAGCUUGAGGGCUAGCCUCGUGUGCUGACCUGCGGAGGUAGAGCACUGGAUGAACUAGGGCCCAUACCAGGGUACCGAACUCAAUCAAACUCCGAAUGCCGCAGGGUGUAACACGGGAGUCAGUGCGUGGGGGAUAAGCUUCACGCGCGAGAGGCAAACAUGCCAGACCAGCAGCUAAGGUGCCCAAAUACCGUUCAGUGGAAAGGAUGUGAGGUUGCUUAGACAGUGAGGAUGUUGGCUUAGAGGCAGCCAUCAUUUAAACAGUGCGUAAUAGCUGACUCAUCGAGCGAUCUCGCGCCGAUAAUGAUUGGCGAUAAACGGUAUACCGAAGCUCUGGAAGACAUUCUGGUUCGCCAGGAUGGAUUGGUAGGGGAGCGUUCUUAAUGCAUCGAAGCGCAAGGGAAACCGAACGUGGAGCGUUAAGAAGUGAGGAUGCAGACAUGAGUAGCGAUAAGACAGGUUAAAUUCCUGUCCGCCGUAAACCCAAGGUUUCCUGGGGAAGGUUCGUCCUCCCAGGGUUAGUCGGGACCUAAGUCGAGGCCGAAGGGCGUAGACGAUGGACAGCAGGUUUAAUAUUCCUGCACCGGCUGUGGUUAAGUUUAGUUGUGACACAUGAGUAGAGACAGGCCGCCGAUUGAAAGUGACGGUCUGCUCGCAAGGGCAAGGACGGGGAGGCCUCGGCUGAACCGGAUCUGUUAAAACUUGUGUCAAGAAAAGCAACUAAAUGUUCCCACGGUUGCCCGUACCGUAAUCCGACACAGGUGGGUGAGUAGAGUAUACUCAGGCGCGUGAGUGAAACCUCGUUAAGGAACUCGGCAAUCUAGCCCCGUAACUUCGGAAGAAGGGGUGCCCCCUCCUUUUUGCCACCGGCCAAAAAGGAGGAAUUUGAGAUUUCAAAUUUGAAAUUUGAGAUUCCUUUCGCUGGAAGCAGAAAGGAGGGGGUCGCAGUGAAAUGGGUCAACCGACUGUUUAACAAAAACACAGCACUCUGCCAAGUCGUUAAGACGACGUAUAGGGUGUGACACGUGACCAAUGCGGAAAGAUUAUGGCAAGACGUCAGCCGCAAGGCGAAGCGUUGAACCGAAGUCCCCGUGAAUGUCGGCCGUAACUAUAACGGUCCUAAGGUAGCGAAAUUCCUUGUCGGGUAAGUUCCGACCUGCACGAAUCGUGUAACGAGUUGACCGCUGUCUCAACGAGGAGCUCAGCGAAGUUGUAGUGGCGGUGAAGAUGCCGCCUACCCGCAGUAGGACGGAAAGACCCUAUGCACCUUUACUACACGCUGUUACUGUUGUUUCGAUUUUGAUGCUUAGCGUAAGUGGGAGGCUUUGAAGCGGUCCUUUUGGGGAUCGCUGAGCCAACAAUGAAACACCACCCUUCGGAAUUGGAAUAACUAACCUCAUGCCCUCUAUCGGGCUGAGGGACACUGGCAGCCGGCUAGUUUUACUGGGGCGGUAUCCUCCCAAAGAGUAACGGAGGAGUACGAAGGUUGGCUCAACCUGGUUGGCAAUCAGGUGUCGAGUAUAUGGAUAUAAGCCAGCUUAACUGUGAGACACACACGUCGAGCAGAUACGAAAGUAGGUCCAAGUGAUCCGGUGGUUGAAUGUGGAAUUGCCAUCGCUCAACGGACAAAAGGUACGCUAGGGAUAACAGGCUGAUCCUGCCCAAGAGCUCAUAUCGACGGCAGGGUUUGGCACCUCGAUGUCGGCUCAUCACAUCCUGGGGCUGGAGAAGGUCCCAAGGGUCCGGCUGUUCGCCGGUUAAAGUGGUACGCGAGCUGGGUUCAGAACGUCGCGAGACAGUUCGGUCCUUAUCCACUGUGGGCGCAGGAGAAUUGAGGGGUUCAGACCUUAGUACGAGAGGACCGGGUCUGACGAACCGCUGGUGUUCCAGUUGUUCUGUCAAGAGCAGUGCUGGGUAGCUAUGUUCGGAAAGGAUAAGCGCUGAAAGCAUCUAAGCGCCAAGCCUAUCCCAAGAUGAGUUCUCCCUGAAGAGUCGUGGUAGACCACCACGUUGAUAGGUUACUGGUGUAAGCGUAGUAAUACGUUCAGCUAAGUAAUACUAAUAACUCGUUCGGCUUGGUC